CCAGAGGAGUCAGAUAUAAUCAGAUGUUCUGUUUCCAUUUACAGAGCCCUGGAAAUGUUUGAGGCCGGUUGUCAUAAGUCACGGUUCCAGCCAGUGCUGUGCUGAGCCAUGUUGCAAAAGGAAGGCUGUGUACUACAUACUACAUAACUGGAUACAUGGUUUUAUGUAUUUUUUAAAAUGGUUACUGGAGGCUCACACCUGUAAUCCCAGCACUUUGGGAGGCUGAGAGGCAGGAGCUCACCAAGUUUUCUAGGCUAGUGUCAAACUCCUGGCCUUGUUACCAGCAGCAAAUCCUACAGGUCUGCAGCAACCUCAAUUCUCACCUCCUCAGAAGAAAUAAUUCGACUGAGAUGCAGAAGUCAGGAGACACUGAGGGAGAUAAAUUAGAAAACUGCAGUGAGGGGGAAGAGGAUUCAAGAUGGAGCCAUAAGAACAACUCAGGAUUGCAGCUCUCAGUGAACGUGCAGAGGGUGAGUGGAGAAAAGAAUAAAGAAACCCAUAUUUCUUGAACUUCUCUGGCAACUAGCAGUGGUACCAAAUACAGUCUUUAGAAUUUCCAGAGUCUC
RNAcentral lists this long non-coding RNA (566 nucleotides) under Callithrix jacchus (white-tufted-ear marmoset). Its description in RNAcentral is "lncRNA (ENSCJAG00000077750.1)". Lineage: Eukaryota; Metazoa; Chordata; Mammalia; Primates; Cebidae. The record is from RNAcentral.